This 1418-nucleotide unclassified non-coding RNA is filed under the name Zea mays. Its description in RNAcentral is "misc RNA Zm00001eb249300". The record is from RNAcentral. Lineage: Eukaryota; Viridiplantae; Streptophyta; Magnoliopsida; Poales; Poaceae.
CUCUCUCUUCUCCCUGUCUUCUUCUCCCACGCACACAGCCAGCGCGCAGGGAGCUCGCCUCCCUUCCUCCCAUGGCGCCCAGGCCUGCUCCUCCCCUCGGCCAGCCAGGGCGCGGUGGCCCCUGCCCCUGCCCCUUCUUCCUCGCGCACGCUGCAUCUCCUAGCUCGGCCUCGCCAUCGCGCAGCAGCAGACGUCAUCUUCUUCCCUGGACUCCCCACGCCAGCAAUAGGGAGCAUGGCUCCUUCCCUCCAUGGCCGGACCGCCCUCCCCUUGCUGCCGGCGAGCAGCAGCUCCCUGGAUCCAUGGCGCCGGUGAAGCUCGAGCAGUCAAGCUCCCAGCUAUGGCGCCCGCUCCCUGCAGGGAUGCAGUUCCCUUGGCCGACGCCCGGCAGAGCAGCCAUGGCCGAGCUCCCUGGGAGCACGCCGGUGCCCCUGCUCUCCCCUUGGCCGCCAGCAGCCAUGGUCGCUAGCCCCCAGCGAGCUCGGGUUCUUCUCCCUGGCCGCCCUGCUCCCUGUCCACGGCGCCCAGGAAUUCCAACAGCAGCAUCUCCCUUCCCCAAACUGCUCUUGCCAUGGCCGAUUCUUCCCUGCGCCCAGCUCCUCCUCGCCAUAUGCCCGACGCCCCUCGCUGCGCAGCUCCUCCACGGUGCAGCACCGCUGUUCCUGCAGCCCCGGCCCCUCCCCCGGUUUCCUCGCUGCCAGCGCUGCGCGCGUGCCACGUGCUCGACAAAAUGUCCAAGUGGGGUGUUGCGCAGUGAGCAGCACGCCGUGAUGCCCCCCCGGUGUUCGCUGUUUUUGCGCAAUCCCAACAUCGACGCCGUUCACCCCGAGAACCCCGUGUUUUGCGUGGAGAAGGCAAGUCGUUCAACGCUCGUCGGAUGUUCGGAGCGAUGCACAAAUCGGAAUCGCCAUCAUCCUUACAAACACCGAUUGGGUUUGUUUAUGGUGAGCCGAUGACCGAGAGAGGAUCAUCGUGCAAGUGAUGUGGUGCCAAACAACAAGAUGCAGUCGAUGGACGACCCAAGGAAGGAUGGACUUAACCAGUGGAUGCUCGCCAAGCGAGUACCUCCCCUAGCAAACACUAUCUAAGUGCUAAAAAUUAAAGGACCGAGAGAGGAUCAUCGUGCAAGUGAUGUGGUGCCAAACAACAAGAUGCAGUCGAUGGACGACCCAAGGAAGGAUGGACUUAACCAGUGGAUGCUCGCCAAGCGAGUACCUCCCCCAGCAAACACUAUCUAAGUGUUAAAAAUUAAAGGUACUCCUUAGGAUGAUUUGUUGCUGGUGUGACUUGGCCUCCAUCCCUGCCACCGGGAUAGACGACCGAGUGGGUUAUUGCUUCCGCUGGAGAGGACCAGGAGGAGUAGCGUGGCCAGGCUUCGCCAUGUUAUUCGGUUCUUCUCCGUUAUUUAUUUCCGCUGC